UACGUAGGGGGCAAGCGUUGUCCGGAUUUAUUGGGCGUAAAGAGCGUGUAGGCGGUCUGGUAGGUCCGUUGUGAAAACUCGAGGCUCAACCUCGAGGCGCCGAUGGAAACCCUCAGACUAGAGUCCGGAAGAGGAGAGUGGAAUUCCUGGUGUAGCGGUGAAAUGCGCAGAUAUCAGGAAGAACACCCGUGGCUAAGGCGGCUCUCUAGUACGGUACUGACGCUGAGACGCGAAAGCGUGGGGAGCGAACAGG
This 253-nucleotide ribosomal RNA is filed under the name uncultured bacterium. RNAcentral describes it as "partial 16S ribosomal RNA". It matches the Rfam family "Bacterial small subunit ribosomal RNA", at positions 524 to 776 of the family's 1533-position model. The record is from RNAcentral.